RNAcentral lists this ribosomal RNA (803 nucleotides) under uncultured fungus. Its description in RNAcentral is "eukaryotic LSU rRNA". It matches the Rfam family "Eukaryotic large subunit ribosomal RNA", at positions 24 to 664 of the family's 3401-position model. The record is from RNAcentral. Lineage: Eukaryota; Fungi.
CCCGCUGAACUUAAGCAUAUUAUUAAGCGGAGGAAAAGAAACUAACAAGGAUGCCCUCAGUAACGGCGAGUGAAGCGGGCAAAGCUCAACCUGAAAAUCGGAUUCCCUAGCGGGAUUUCGAAUUGUGGGCUACAGACGCGUGAUCAGUGUGUGACCCAGGUAUAAAUCUCUUUGAAACGAGGUAUCAUAGAGGGUGAGAAUCCCGUCUGUGACUUGGAGUUCGCCGCGUACGAUCCGUGUUCGCAGAGUCGCGUUGUUUGGGAUUGCAGCGCUAAAUGGGUGGUAAAUUUCAUCUAAAGCUAAAUAUCGACGAGAGACCGAUAGCGAACAAGUACCGUGAGGGAAAGAUGAAAAGAACUUUGAAAAGAGAGUUAAAAAGUACUUGAAAUUGCUAAGAGGGAAGCACUGGAAACCAGUCGUGACCCGCGUGUAUAUUUAGCAUGCGCGUCUGGAUCCGCGUGGUGUCGAGAGCCCAAAGCCUCGUAGCCAUUCGGUGAAUUGCGUGCUAGCGACCUGUACUGUGGGUUGAGUCAGAAUCAAUUCGAUCCGUGAGAGAAAGCUAUCAAAACGGUAGGCGCGCGGGGGCAACUCCAAGUGCUGUUUAGUUUGGUAGUGCUAUCAUGGGUCGGAUUGAGGCAUCAAAAACGCGCCCCGCAUGGGAUUCGCCCCCCGACCCUGGAGGCUCAGAAGGUUUGGACAACAAAGUUGUGCUAUCUUCGAAGGUUUCUACUGGAAAGGAUGAGUGAGAAGCAGCGUUCGAGAUUCUGACGAAAUGGUUUUCAUUGACCCGUCUUGAAACACGG